Molecule: ribosomal RNA, 465 nt
Filed under: uncultured bacterium
Lineage: Bacteria
Description: partial 16S ribosomal RNA
Rfam family: Bacterial small subunit ribosomal RNA
Source: RNAcentral
GACGAACGCUGGCGGCGUGCUUAACACAUGCAAGUCGUACGGUAAGGCCCUUUCGGGGGUACACGAGUGGCGAACGGGUGAGUAACACGUGAGUAACCUGCCCACAACUUUGGGAUAACGCUAGGAAACUGGUGCUAAUACUGGAUAUGUGCUCCUGCUGCAUGGUGGGGGUUGGAAAGCUCCGGCGGUUGUGGAUGGACUCGCGGCCUAUCAGCUUGUUGGUGGGGUAGUGGCCUACCAAGGCGGCGACGGGUAGCCGGCCUGAGAGGGUGACCGGCCACAUUGGGACUGAGAUACGGCCCAGACACCUACGGGAGGCAGCAGUGGGGAAUAUUGCACAAGGGGCGCAAGCCUGAUGCAGCAACGCCGCGGGCGGGAUGACGGCCUUCGGGUUGUAAACCGCUUUCAGCAGGGACGAAGCUUUUUGUGACGGUACCUGCAGAAGAAGCACCGGCUAACUACGUG